AUUGAACGCUGGCGGUAGGCCUAACACAUGCAAGUCGAGCGGCUGAAGGGUGCUUGCUUCUGGAUUCAGCGGCCGACGGGCGGGUAAGGCCUAGGUACCUGCCUGUUUGUUGUUGCUUACGUGCUGACAUGGGCGCACAUACCGCAUUCGUCCUUAGGGCGUAAGUGGGGGAUCUUCGGAUCUUCCGAUCUUAGAUGAUCCUAUGUCGGAUUAGCUAGUUGGUGGGGUAAAGGCCUACCAAGGCGACGAUCCGUAGCUGGUCUGAGAGGAUGAUCAGUCACACUGGAACUGAGACACGGUCCAGACUCCUACGGGAGGCAGCAGUGGGGAAUAUUGGACAAUGGGCGAAAGCCUGAUCCAGCCAUGCCGCGUGUGUGAAGAAGGUCUUCGGAUUGUAAAGCACUUUUGGUUGGGAGGAAGAGCAGUAAGUUAAUACCUUGCUGUUUUGACGUUACCAACAGAAUAAGCACCGGCUAACUUCGUG
Molecule: ribosomal RNA, 484 nt
Filed under: uncultured bacterium
Lineage: Bacteria
Description: partial 16S ribosomal RNA
Rfam family: Bacterial small subunit ribosomal RNA
Source: RNAcentral